AGAGUUUGAUCAUGGCUCAGGAUGAACGCUGGCGGCGUGCUUAAUACAUGCAAGUCGAACGGAGGGAGGUAGUAAUACUUUCCUUAGUGGCGAACGGGUGAGAAACGCGUUGGUGACCUGCCCCGAAGAGCGGGACAACAGACCGAAAGGUUUGCUAAUACCGCAUGAGCUCUUGCUGGCUAGAGUGGCAAGAGGAAAGGCCGAAAGGCGCUUUGGGAGGGGCCUGCGUCCCAUCAGCUAGUUGGCGGGGUAACAGCCCACCAAGGCGAUGACGGGUAGGGGACCUGAGAGGGUGACCCCCCACAAUGGAACUGAAACACGGUCCAUACACCUACGGGUGGCAGCAGUCGGGAAU
This 355-nucleotide ribosomal RNA is filed under the name uncultured bacterium B1-10. Its description in RNAcentral is "bacterial SSU rRNA". It matches the Rfam family "Bacterial small subunit ribosomal RNA", at positions 8 to 362 of the family's 1533-position model. The record is from RNAcentral.